AGAAAGUCCCGGACUGCGGCUGUGCGGAUGGCAAGCUUGCUUGCACAGACGCACGGACAUAGGACGGGCUGGACAGUACGAGUACGAGGGAUGCCGUCAGGCAGACCGGAAAGUGCGAGUACUGUCAGCAGAUGGCGGGAGUGCGAAGCAAGGAGCCAUCUGACUUUCG
RNAcentral lists this small RNA (169 nucleotides) under Blautia sp. An249. RNAcentral describes it as "Clostridiales-1 RNA". It matches the Rfam family "Clostridiales-1 RNA". Lineage: Bacteria; Bacillati; Bacillota; Clostridia; Lachnospirales; Lachnospiraceae. The record is from Rfam by way of RNAcentral.